AGAGUUUGAUCCUGGCUCAGGAUGAACGCUGGCGGCGUGCUUAAUACGUGCAAGUCGAACGAACCGAGCCUAGCCGGAAGCUUGUCGAGAGCAAGGAAGGGGAGAAAUCUCUAGAGCUGCUUGAAGCGAGGGGAAAGCUAAUAUCGGUUAGUGGCGAACGGGUGAGUAACACGUGGGUGACCUGCCCUGAAGUGGGGAAUAACUGUCCGAAAGGAUGGCUAAUACCGCAUACGGUCCGGCUUUCGGUAGCCGGAUCAAAGGCGAAAGCCGCUUUGGGAGGGGCCCGCGGCCGAUUAGCUAGUUGGUGGGGUAAAGGCCUACCAAGGCUGAGAUCGGUAGCUGGUCUGAGAGGAUGAUCAGCCACAUUGGCUCUGAGACACGGGCCAAACUCCUACGGGAGGCAGCAGUAAGGAAUAUUGUACAAUGGGGGAAACCCUGAUCCAGCAAUGCCGCGUGGGCGACGAAGGUCUUCGGAUCGUAAAGCCCUUUUCUGGGGGAAGAGCAAGGACGGUACCCCAGGAAUAAGUCUCGGCUAACUACGUGCCAGCAGCCGCGGUAAAACGUAGGAGGCUAGCGUUAUCCGGAUUUACUGGGCGUAAAGCGCGUGCAGGCGGUGGUGCAAGUUGGGCGUAAAAUCUCCUGGCUUAACUGGGAGGCGCCGUCCAAUACUGCAUCACUUGAGGGCAGGAGAGGGAAGUAGAAUUCCCGGUGUAGCGGUAAUAUGCGCAGAUAUCGGGAGGAAUACCAGUGGCGAAGGCGGCUUCCUGGCCUGUUCCUGACGCUAAGACGCGAAAGCUAGGGGAGCGAACGGGAUUAGAUACCCCGGUAGUCCUAGCUGUAAACGAUGGAUACUAGGUGUUGGGGGUAUUGACCCCCCCAGUGCCGAAGCUAACGCGUUAAGUAUCCCGCCUGGGGAGUACGACCGCAAGGUUAAAACUCAAAGGAAUUGACGGGGGUCGCA
RNAcentral lists this ribosomal RNA (961 nucleotides) under uncultured bacterium. RNAcentral describes it as "bacterial SSU rRNA". It matches the Rfam family "Bacterial small subunit ribosomal RNA", at positions 8 to 925 of the family's 1533-position model. The record is from RNAcentral.